This 253-nucleotide ribosomal RNA is filed under the name uncultured bacterium. RNAcentral's name for it is "partial 16S ribosomal RNA". It matches the Rfam family "Bacterial small subunit ribosomal RNA", at positions 524 to 776 of the family's 1533-position model. The record is from RNAcentral.
UACGUAGGUGGCAAGCGUUGUCCGGAUUUAUUGGGUUUAAAGGGUGCGUAGGCGGCUUUGUAAGUCAGUGGUGAAAUAUGGCAGCUCAACUGUCAAGGUGCCAUUGAUACUGCGGAGCUUGAGUACAGAUGAGGUAGGCGGAAUUGACGGUGUAGCGGUGAAAUGCUUAGAUAUCGUCAAGAACACCUAUAGCGAAGGCAAUCCCCUGGGCCUGCACUGACGCUCAUGCACGAAAGCGUGGGGAGCAAACAGG